Podarcis lilfordi (Lilford's wall lizard) is the source of this 69-nucleotide non-coding RNA. The record is from the annotation of a GenBank genome assembly. NCBI's taxonomy places the organism in Eukaryota, Metazoa, Chordata, Lepidosauria, Squamata, Lacertidae.
GUUAGCUCAGUUGGUUAGAGUGUGGUGCUUAUAAUGCCAAUGUUGCAGGUUCGAUCCCCGUAUGGGACA